CCGCGGUCAUGGAGACUCUACCCUCCGACCACUCAUCGUAGUUGACAAGUGAAAUAUGAAUUAGCUAAAAGAAAGCUAGACCAGGACAAGUGGAUGCUCUAGAUUAGGCAAAUCUAGAUUCAGGGAAAGUACUUAACUUGUGAAGUAAAAUUUUGGCAUAAGGAUUCACUACUAGUAAGCUCUUCUGCAAAAUGAGUCCUUGAAAUUUGAUAAGCCUUACCUUGAUUCCUAAUGAGCCAUCAUAUCCUUGAGAGUCUUUUCUUUAGUCGGGUAAGUCUUGCUGAGUAAUUCCAUACUCAGGGUUUUAUUCCCUGUUGUUUUUUCAGGUCAUAGUUUUGUGCUGCUGAUGGUGGUGUUAAGUGCCGGUGGGCUCGGCCUUCUUAUAAGUCUAAGUAACCCUUCUAUACUUCUUAUUGAGGGUGGUCACUUGAGCUACCAUAUAUUUCAAACUUAUACUUUCGUAAUCACUCCGAUGAAUAUAAUGUAAAAUUUUUGUAACUUGUAAACUUUGGUAAUAAGAUUUCCGCUGCAAAAAUAUUGAUGUGUGUGAUUUGUGUUACUUAAUCCUGUGGUCCUGGUUGUAAGUGGUUUAUCCGAUGUCCUUGGGGCAAUCGGACGGAUCCUAUUAAGUUAUCUGGUGCACAUGCAGAGCCGUCUGAGGUCUUUGAGACAAGGACAGGUGCAUGUGGGCCCGAUAACUUGGGAGGUUCUGCCACAGCUGGUAUCGGA
RNAcentral lists this long non-coding RNA (729 nucleotides) under Zea mays. RNAcentral's name for it is "drought responsive lncRNA". Lineage: Eukaryota; Viridiplantae; Streptophyta; Magnoliopsida; Poales; Poaceae. The record is from RNAcentral.